UUUUUUAUUGAAAAAAAAACAAAAUUGUCUGACCUAAUUAUCUAAAAUAUCCUGUUUUAAAUACUAGGUACACAGCAUAAUCAAUUACUCAUAUCCCCUUACCAUCGUUCAGAAUGUGGCGGCCUUGCAGACUCUUUGAUUAGCAGCUGAUCAUCAUUUAGAAUGGCCAAGCCAUUUUCUUGAUGAGAAAUUCUAGUAGUUCCUCUAGUAUUAUUUCUUUACUAGGGUCACGUGACUCGAGUACAGUCGAGGGAUUCAUGAUAGGAAAUGAGAUGACUGCGUGCUGAAGAUUUUUUGACGAAUUUAAAAACUGAAUUUUUAAUUAAAGUAAAAUGAUUUUUACACAUAUAAUAGUAAUGCCUCUGUGUUUGCGAUUUCCUUAUACUAAUGCAUUUCCUUUGAUUUAAACGAAAGAUUUAAUUUUAAAUAAGAAAACGUUACUUUGCAUUAGGUUAUGUAUAAGCUUAAACUUUAGUUAUUAUGAUUAAACAUUUUAUUGUUAUUAGAAGUUUAAGUAUAUAUUCAUUGUUAUAUAUGUUUAUGAUAAUCUUAGAAUUUCAGAUAUAAUUCGUAAAUGAUUCUCCUUUUAGUUUGCACCGAGCAAGUUAACUAGAGGUAAUGAAAACGCACUAAUCUGUAACUUAAGAUAACCUAACCUAAAUUCUAUUACUUUAUUAUUAUUCACGACUGAAAUUAUCUAACUUUUUGUAGAAGAAUUUAUUUUUACACUGAAAAAAAUUUGAUAAAUCUUUAUUGAUUAAAAUAGAUAUAUUUUCCGUCUGUUUAUUCUGAAAGAAA
Molecule: long non-coding RNA, 798 nt
Organism: Apis florea (little honeybee)
Lineage: Eukaryota; Metazoa; Arthropoda; Insecta; Hymenoptera; Apidae
Source: RefSeq, a predicted model, not a curated record